GCCGGGGUGGUGGAAUGGUAGACACAGGGGACUUAAAAUCCCCCGGGCUCACGCUCGUGCCGGUUCGAAUCCGGCUCCCGGUA
RNAcentral lists this transfer RNA (83 nucleotides) under Planctomycetota bacterium. Its description in RNAcentral is "tRNA-Leu". It matches the Rfam family "tRNA". From Rfam's summary of the family: Transfer RNA (tRNA) molecules are approximately 80 nucleotides in length. The record is from RNAcentral. Lineage: Bacteria; Pseudomonadati; Planctomycetota.